RNAcentral lists this long non-coding RNA (955 nucleotides) under Portunus trituberculatus (swimming crab). Its description in RNAcentral is "uncharacterized LOC123511243, transcript variant X2". Lineage: Eukaryota; Metazoa; Arthropoda; Malacostraca; Decapoda; Portunidae. The record is from RNAcentral.
GUUCCCCUCGCCGUCCCCAGAUGGAGCUUUUAUCGGCGUGUGUCGGCAGCGGCGGCGGCCCACACCUUACCAAGAGAGAGAGGAGGAGAGAAGGAGAGGAAGAUAGAGAGGCAGACAGAGACGUUAUCCUAGAUUAAUUCCUCCGUGAUCUUUGGCCGCUCCAGCAGCAUAGAACGUCCCACGACCAAGCUGGCGACUGUUUUACGAGACCGGGCGGGACCCUAGGCAGGCCAGGGCUCGCGGGGGACCGGGCGAGGGAGGCAGGACACGUGGGCAGACUGAGGGAGGCGGCGGCGAAGGAAGGAGCAGCCGGGGGCCGGCGUGUGUUCGCUGUGAGCUGUGGUCCUUCUGUCUCUAGGGACUACCAGCGCCGCGUCCCUCAUUCCACAAACACGUGACGUGGCGGUCUUCCUCCUCCUCCUUCCUCCCGUGCCUCCCAACCGAGAGACACUGACAAAGAUGAAGGACAGCGUCAGAAACAUGGAUACUGUGUAAGGACGACAAGAAAGCCAUCAAGCCCGGUGAUGUACGGAAGAAAAGGAAAGAAAAAUACAAUAUGAGUAGCCACUGCGGGGACAUCAAGGAGGACCCAACAGCUCACUCUCUCUCUCUCUCUCUCUCUCUCUCUCUCUCUGACUGCCAGAAAGAUGAUGGAGAAGAAACGCAAGAAAGGCAGGUUUAAUAAUUAUGUCAAUUAGCUUCGUCCUUUGUCUGUUGAGGAGGAGGAAGAAGAAGAGGAGGAGGAAAAGGUGGUUGCAGGAAGAGAGCAAGAAAAUAAUAUAGAAAAAAGUCUUGAUGAUUAUGAUAAUGACGGCGACGAGAAGGAGGACAAAAAAAAAAGAAGGAAAAGAUAAAAAAAAUAAUGACAACAAUAGCAGCAAAGAAGACGAGUACAAAAUGAUUGAGGAUUAUGAAUAAUGAGAGAAUAAGUAAGUAAGUAAAGAAUAAAAGCUCC